RNAcentral lists this ribosomal RNA (468 nucleotides) under uncultured bacterium. RNAcentral's name for it is "partial 16S ribosomal RNA". It matches the Rfam family "Bacterial small subunit ribosomal RNA", at positions 28 to 507 of the family's 1533-position model. The record is from RNAcentral.
GACGAACGCUGGCGGCGUGCUUAACACAUGCAAGUCGAACGGAAAGGCCCUGCUUUUGUGGGGUGCUCGAGUGGCGAACGGGUGAGUAACACGUGAGUAACCUGCCCUUGACUUUGGGAUAACUUCAGGAAACUGGGGCUAAUACCGGAUAGGAGCUCCUGCUGCAUGGGGGGGGUUGGAAAGUUUCGGCGGUUGGGGAUGGACUCGCGGCUUAUCAGCUUGUUGGUGGGGUAGUGGCUUACCAAGGCUUUGACGGGUAGCCGGCCUGAGAGGGUGACCGGCCACAUUGGGCCUGAGAUACGGCCCAGACUCCUACGGGAGGCAGCAGUGGGGAAUAUUGCACAAUGGGCGGAAGCCUGAUGCAGCAACGCCGCGUGCGGGAUGACGGCCUUCGGGUUGUAAACCGCUUUCGCCUGCGACGAAGCGUGAGUGACGGUAAUGGGUAAAGAAGCACCGGCUAACUACGUG